RNAcentral lists this ribosomal RNA (253 nucleotides) under uncultured bacterium. RNAcentral's name for it is "partial 16S ribosomal RNA". It matches the Rfam family "Bacterial small subunit ribosomal RNA", at positions 524 to 776 of the family's 1533-position model. The record is from RNAcentral.
UACAGAGGUCCCGAGCGUUGUUCGGAUUCAUUGGGCGUAAAGGGUGCGUAGGCGGCGGGGUAAGUUUGAUGUGAAAUUCCGGGGCUCAACCCUGGCAUGGCAUUGAAUACUACCUUGCUAGAGUACCGGAGAGGAAACUGGAAUUUACGGUGUAGCAGUGAAAUGCGUAGAGAUCGUAAGGAAGACCAGUGGCGAAGGCGAGUUUCUGGACGGUAACUGGCGCUGAGGCACGAAGGCCAGGGGAGCAAACGGG